RNAcentral lists this long non-coding RNA (5021 nucleotides) under Canis lupus familiaris (dog). Its description in RNAcentral is "lncRNA (ENSCAFG00000053416.1)". Lineage: Eukaryota; Metazoa; Chordata; Mammalia; Carnivora; Canidae. The record is from RNAcentral.
CUUUAUUUUGAAAAUAAUAGCAAUUUUGUAUCCACAUUACACGAAUUAAUGCAUUUAAUUCUUAACAACAUUUUAACGAGUUGUUACUGACUCCAUUUUGUAGUUACAUAAACUGAGGAGGCACAGAGAAGUUAAGUAAUUUGCCCAAGGUGACUCAAUUACUGGUGGAACUGAGCUACAUACCCAUGCAGUCUGUAUCCAGAGCCCAUGUGCUUUUCCACUAUUCUGUACUAUUUUUGUUUGUGAUUUUUUAAGACUAUAUAGAUUUUCUUAAGAAAAUGGAAUCCAGUAUUUUUACAUGUAAUUUUUCCCAUAUCACCUACCAACUAAGAAUAUUCUUUGAUCUUGCAAAUAGAAUCACUCAGCAGUUCAGUAGUCUGCCUGUCUUUUCCACCCUCUUCUUGCCAUACAGUUGCUGCUUAUCCCCUUUAAUCUUGAUUCCUGUCCCCCACCUUUUCUAUAUAAGCUUUAACCCAUUUGGCUUCCAGGGUACCCAAUGUAGCCCCAGCCAAGAGAGAGGCAAGCCUGGAGAUGAAGUUGCAGGACUUGUCUAAGCCAUUCUCUUCUCAAGUCAAAGGUACACAGACCACAGAUUUAAAAAAAAAAAAAAAAAAAAAAAAAAGGGAGGGGGUGGAGCAGAGUACUCAGUAUGAUCACCUUAUGCUCACUUGCAAAUAAUUAUGAUGGCUAUUCAGUCAAGAAGCAUUUAGUAAACAGCUUCUCUUUGUACCUGGAACUGUGUAGGGAGGCAGAGAUGAAACUAGGAAGUAGAGAGGAGGGAAGAGGAAGGUGUGCUGCUACCCUAUUGUCAAUUGUCUUUCAGUCUUGUACUUUCAUUCAAGCUAGUAUUUCUUAGCUAGUAUUGUGUCAACAAAAAUGAAGGCAUUUUUAUUAAGCAGAUGAGGUGAUGUGGUUUAGAGGUCUAGUUAAUGAAGAGCAUUAUAUACUCUCACAUCCAUGCUGUAAAUCCUGUUCCUCAGCCUCAGAGAACCUCUAAUACAUGCAGCAUUGGUAUUUGAAAGAAUUAAGUGAUUAAAAUUAUCCAACCUUGUGCUGCAAAGCAUAAACAUAAAUGUUCCUCUUCCAAAAAUUCAAAUAAUUGCUUUGAAGAAGGCAAAAACUGUAGAAUACUUAAAUUUUAAUUUAUCCACUGAUAAAUUUUGUGGGUUUUCUUUAGUAAAGAGGAAGAAGACUGAUACAGGAUAAUAUCAAAGAUCAAUGAAGAUUUGGGAAAUUAGUAACGAUGUAGAAACUCAAAAUGAUGGGAAUUUUUUCCCUUCUUUUUUAGAAAGAAAAUAUUAGAGAAAUAAGGUCAAGUAAUUUAUGUUUGGAGACUGUUAUUACAUCCCUGGCAUAUCUCUAUCCAUGAAAUAUGAAACCUGUGUAAGGAGAUUCAUCUUUACUUAGGUUCGUAAUUAUACACUACAAAGAGUGUUUUAUUCCAUUAAAUUCACUGUGAUAGUCAUUUUGCUACAUAUAUAUGUUGCAUAGUUUUGUUUUUGUUUUUUUUAAUGGUUUUUAUCUUUACUUUUUUUUUAAAGAUUUAUUUAUUUGAGAGAGCACAAACAGGGGGAGGGGCAGAGGAAGAGAGAGUAUCCUCAAGCAGACUCCCUACUGAGCAUGGAGGCCAGUGCAGAGCUUAAUCCCAGGACCCCACGAUCAUGACCUGAGCCUAAAUCAAGAGCCAGCUGCUCAACCAAGCUGCUAGGCACCCCUAUAUUAUAUAGUUUUGAUUCAUUAACCUACAAUCUUAACUUUCUUCUAUUCAGCAAAACAUUUUAGCAUUGAGAAUUGGUUAAUAACACGUGAUUUUUUAAUUCCUUCAUUUUAUAUUUUUAUGUUAUUCAUUUAUACUUUAAACGAAUUUCAGAUCUGCAUAAAUUUGUGAAAGUGUAUGCACAGUACUGUUCCUCACAGCGUUUUUUAUAAAGCCAAAAAUUGGUAAGAAUCCAAAGGUCUCUAAACAAGAAUUUGGUUAUUCAGGUGAAUAUUUAAAAUGAUGAAGUAGAUUUGUAAUUAUUGAUAUAAAAAGUUUUUACAACAUUACAAAAGCAGACUAUAAAUUCAUCUUUUUUAAAUUGUGUGUUUAGAGAAGUAGCCCAGGAAGAUAUUAAGGCAAAAUGUUAACAGUACUUCUGAGUAAAUUUACAGAUGGUCUUCACCUACAGUUUUCAGUCUUAUGUAUUGUUUGAAGUGGUUUUUAUUAAUUAUUGCUUUUAUAGUUAGCAUGUAUAGUUUUACAAGUGGAAAAAUAAUAUUUUUAUAGUCAAACUUGGAAAGGUAAAAGGAACUCCGAAAGAAAUCUAAUGUUAAUUGUUUAAGCAUAGAAAAAAACUUUACAUAAUGCAUGUCAAUUCUCUCAGUGCUCUAACUUGCUUUAAGAUUUCCCCCCUUCUUCUCCUACUGAAAUAGUAUUAACACCUGAUUGUAACACCUUUUCCCACACACAGCUUCCUGUUCCCUAUCCUUCAUCUGUUCCCUUCUUCCUCCUUUGAGCUGAAAUGACAGACCUAUCUUAUUCCCCAUAAUGCCCACACUGUGAGAAUACAAUUUGAGGCAGAACAUGAAUGUCACUGGUCAUUCAGACAGUAAGCCUGUCCUUUACCUCAAUCAGUGCGUCAGCUCAGAGCAUGAUUCUAGUCCAGGGAUCGAGUCUUUCAUUGGGCUCCCUUCGAGGAGCCUGCUUCUCCCUCUGCCUGUGUCUCUGCCUCUCUGUGUCUCUCAUGAAUAAAUAAAUAAAAUCUUUAAAAAAAAAAAAAAAAGGAAUGCACAGAUGGAUCUUCAGUGCAUUUCACUAAUAGAGAUCAUGUUCAAUUAAACAUUUGUCUUGAAUGAUGUAGACUUCAGCUCUUGAAGAUACCUUGAUGACUGAAGCUUUUGCAUUCUAGACUGCCAGAAAUUGGGAUAAGAUGAUUUUUUUUUCAAGAGUGGAGAACUGUGACUCAGACCUCUCUUUGGCACUUUAGACUCUAAAGCCAUUACUUAAUCUGAACUGAAAGACCACAGUUCUUAAAAAUAUCUUAACCAGUUUUCAGGCAUUUGGUAUUAUUAGUUUAAAUCUUUUUGAACCUGGUUGGUUUUUUUUGGUGUUUUUUUUUUUUUUUUUUUUAUUCACAAGAGACAGAGAGGCAGAGGGAGAAGCAGGCUCCAUGCAGGGAGCCUGAUGUGGGACUCGAACCUGGGAAUCCAGGAUCACACCCUGAGCCAAAGGCAGGCACUCAACUGCUGAGCCACUCAGGCAUCCCUGAACCUGGUUGGUUUAAGUGAUAGUUUUAGUUUCAACAUUUGGGCAAAGUGAAGGAGAAAAAUCACAAAGUAGCCAGAGAGGCAGAAGUUCUCAACAAACCUCCUCCCCGCCUGCCCCCCACACACUGGGUAAUCUAUUUAAAUUGUUUGUGAUAUAAGUGAAUGUAAGAAACUAGCCUCUCCCUAGAAUAAAUACAAUCAAGCCUAGCACAAGUCCAAGAAAACAUAAGCAAGGUUUCUUAAAAUGUAAGCAAUGUCUUGUGGAGAGAAGGCUUGGAAAUGCUUUGUCAGCAGCAGUCUCUGCAGAUCAUUAAAAGAUGGUAUUUCUGUUGCACCUCUAAUAUUGAGAAUGUAUGACCAUGAGUAUCUUAUUAAGCCAGAAUCUUCCCAAGUUAUAGGUUGCGUUAGACCAUAGGCACACUUCCUUACUCUUUUCAUCUUUAACAUACUGUUUGCUAAUUUUGCUCCUUUCCCUUUUGGUUCCUCCUUAUCCAUCUGCUCUAAUACACUCAAAUUCUCAACACCAAAAACAGAGGAAAUAAAAAUCAGGGAAGGAGUGAAACUAGGGAAUGGAGAGAAAGGGGUACAUUCUGGGACCCCCAGAAACCUAAAUUACUUUAUUUUUAAUUGCUCUGAUUUUUUUUUUCCCCCAAUCCUCUCUGGGUAGAGAGCAAUCUCCCAAGCAGUGUGUAGUUAAGUGUGUGGGCUCCAGGCUCAGAGCCUCGUGCCGCCACUUACUCUGUCUUGGGCAAGUGGCUUACUACCCUCCUAGUGUUUCAGUUCCUGAAGUGUCAGUUCCUCAGACCUUUAUGGAGUUAGUAUGUUAAAGUUUAGGACAUAUUAGCUAUUAUUUAAUAUCUACCAGUAUUUUAAUAAUAAAGAGCUAUAUGGAUUUUGCUAUUUCCACCUUUGGAGGAAGAAGUAGACCAUCUUCCCCUGUGUCAAUAGGUCUCACUAAGGCUGCUGCUUGCUCAUGUUCAGCUGAGGAUCCUGAAUUCUCCCCCAGUGGAAGCACUGAAGGGUGUGAGUGCCACCACUGCCACCCCCUAGGGUCUAAGCCCCAGGGUGAAGGAAUUGGCCAGGCCAACAGAACCACUUCUCAAAGAGUUCUCCAUGAAACAGCUACCUAAAAACAUGGGGAGGAGAGUGAGAAGUGUGCAGUGGGGGCAGAGGGAGAGAAUAAGACCUGUCAAGAGGCAUGACAAGAGCCAUCAGUAAAAGCACAGGUAGAUGACUCUGGGCAGCUGGUGUGAAAUGCGAUCUGUCACUGUCAGGUCAUUUACGGGUCUUUGCUAAAGUGACAUUGUUCCAAGUUAGAGCAGCCCCUUCCCACCAUCUCCUCAUCUAUUCCUUGAAUGAAGGCUAGCUUUCCAGACACUCCUUUUCCCCAGCUUCGAAAGAAGAAAUGCUCCUGGUAUUUACUGAUUCCUGACUCUGUUUCCCUUCCAGCUGACCCUCUGGUGGGCAGCAUUGCCACACAGUACAUGACCAACAGAGCAGAGCACGACCGGAUGGCCAGACAGUGGACCAAGCGGUAUGCCACAUAGGGGCCUGCUGCUUGCUGCCCCCGCCGGACCUGUGCAAGCACAUUCACCAAGUGCAUCAAUAGCCCUACCCACCCCUCCAGACCUCGGUUCUUAUUUUCUUAUUUUUAUUAAAUUUUGAACCUUUUUCUGAUGGUAUGUCAUCCAUCCCCCCACUCCCUUCCUUCUCCCUCCCUCUUCUUCCUCCUUUUCCUUGCCUCUUCCCUCCACCACCACCCCUUCUCAAUUUAU